RNAcentral lists this ribosomal RNA (451 nucleotides) under uncultured prokaryote. Its description in RNAcentral is "bacterial SSU rRNA". It matches the Rfam family "Bacterial small subunit ribosomal RNA", at positions 355 to 796 of the family's 1533-position model. The record is from RNAcentral.
UCGAGAAUAUUUCGCAAUGGGGGAAACCCUGACGAUGCGACGCCGCGUGGGGGAUGAAGGUCUUCGGAUUGUAAACCUCUGUGUUAUGGGAAGAAUUGUUAGUAGGUGAUAAGCUUGCUAACUUGACGGUACCAUAGUAGAAAGCCCCAGCUAACUGCGUGCCAGCAGCUGCGGUAAUACGUGGGGGGCAAGCGUUGUCCGGAUUUACUGGGCGUAAAGCGUGUGUAGGCGGUUACAUUAGUCGAGUGUGAAAUGGCUUGGCUCAACCAAGCAACUGCGCUCGAUACUGUGUGGCUUGAGUACGGAAGAGGAAAGUGGAAUGUAAGGUGUAGCGGUGAAAUGCGUAGAUAUCUUAUAGAACACCUAUGGCGAAGGCAGCUUUCUGGUCCGACACUGACGCUGAGUACACGAAAGCUUGGGGAGCGAACGGGAUUAGAUACCCCCGUAGUCC